RNAcentral lists this ribosomal RNA (1520 nucleotides) under Blastocystis sp. ATCC 50177/Nand II. RNAcentral's name for it is "SSU rRNA". It matches the Rfam family "Bacterial small subunit ribosomal RNA". The record is from RNAcentral. Lineage: Eukaryota; Bigyra; Opalinata; Blastocystidae.
AAUAUUAAGAGUUCGAUCCUAGCUCCGAAUGAAUGCUAGUAGUAUGCUUUAACACAUGCAAGUUUUAUAUUUUAUAUAAUUUUAUUUUUUAUAAAAUAAAAUAUAUAAAAUAUAGCGUAAAGGUGAGUAUUUAUAAUUAUGAUUACCUAAAAUUAUUUGUAAGAAUUUAUUAUUCAAUCAAAUAUAAACCAUAAAGAUAGUAUCGAUUUUAGAUAUAUAAUUAUAUAAGAUUAGGUAGUUGGUAAGAACAAGCCUACCAAGCCAUAGAUCUUUAGUUGAUUUGUGAGAAUGAUCAACCACAUCGGAAUUUAAAUAAAGUCCGAACUCAUUUAUGAGGCAGCAGUGGGGAAUAUUGGACAAUGAACGAAAGUUUGAUCCAGCAAUACUACAUAGGUGAUGAAGGCUUUAUCGCUGUAAAACUUAUAAUCUAAUAAAAUAAUGAUUAUUAGAGGAAAAGUUCUGACAAACUCUGUGCCAGCAGUCGCGGUAAUACAGAGGGAACAAGCAUUAUUCGUCUUUACUGGGCGUAAAGAGUCUUAAGAUGAUUUUUUCAAUUAAAAAUUAAAAAUUAAAGCUUAACUUUAAUAUUUUUUUAAUAUUAAAAAAUUUGAGUAUGAAAGAGGAUUACAGAAUUUCUAAUGUAGGGGUAAAAUCCAUUGAUAUUAGGAAGAAUGCCAAUAAGUGAAAACAGUAAUCUACUAAAUACUGACAUUGAUAGACGAAAGCAUGGGUAGCAAACAGGAUUUGGUACCCUGGUAGUCCAUGCUAUAAACAAUGAAUAUUAAAUGUUUAAAUAAAUAGAAAUAUCACAUUUAACAUAAAAAGUUAACACGUUAAAUAUUUCGCCUGGGGAGUAAAACCGCAAGGUUGAAACUCAAAGGAAUUGACGGGAGCUUAUACUUACGGUGGAGCAUGUGGUUUAAUCCGAUAGUCCGCGUGGAAUCUUACCAAUUUUUGACAGUCCUAAGUUAUACAUAGGAAACAGGUGUUGCAUGGCCGUCGUCAGCUUAUGUUUUGAAAUUUAAGAUAUAAGUACAACCCUUACUUUAAUUUACUAAUAUUCAAAAAAAUUAAAAAUAUUUAAUUAUAUUGAAUAAGUACUAUUAAAUUUGAAAUAUGUAAAUAUUUUAAAGGAUGAAGAUAGGUCGUUAUGACCCUUAUAAAUUGGGCUACACAUGUGCUACAAUAUUUUCUACAAAAAGAUGCAAUUAUGAAAAUAGGAGCUAAUCUUGAAAAGAAAAUGUAAUAUGAAUUAUAGAUUGAAACUUAUCUAUAUGAAAUUGGAAUCGUUAGUAAUCGUAAAUUAGUAUGUUACGGUGAAUAUAGUACUUGAGCUCUGUACACACCGCCCGUCACAUUAAAGAAGUAAGUUUUGAUUAAAAUCUCAUUUAGUUUAUUAUAAUUAUGUAUGAUGCAAAGUUUAUACAUAGGCUUAUCUUAUGCUAGAUGUUAUUAAAUUUAGAUUUAUGAUUUUAAUGAAGUCGUAACAAGGUAACCGUAUGGGAACAUGCGGUUGGAAU